UACGUAGGGCGCAAGCGUUAUCCGGAAUUAUUGGGCGUAAAGAGCUCGUAGGCGGUUUGUCGCGUCUGCCGUGAAAAGUCCGGGGCUCAACUCCCGGAUCUGCGGUGGGUACGGGCAGACUAGAGUGAUGUAGGGGAGACUGGAAUUCCUGGUGUAGCGGUGAAAUGCGCAGAAUAUCAGGAGGAACACCGAUGGCGAAGGCAGGUCUCGUGGGCAUUAACUGACACUGAGGAGCGAAAGCAUGGG
RNAcentral lists this ribosomal RNA (246 nucleotides) under uncultured bacterium. Its description in RNAcentral is "partial 16S ribosomal RNA". It matches the Rfam family "Bacterial small subunit ribosomal RNA", at positions 524 to 765 of the family's 1533-position model. The record is from RNAcentral.